This 405-nucleotide ribosomal RNA is filed under the name Ureibacillus sp. IZ1RPV407HXJYV. RNAcentral describes it as "bacterial SSU rRNA". It matches the Rfam family "Bacterial small subunit ribosomal RNA", at positions 28 to 402 of the family's 1533-position model. Lineage: Bacteria; Bacillati; Bacillota; Bacilli; Caryophanales; Caryophanaceae. The record is from RNAcentral.
GACGAACGCUGGCGGCGUGCCUAAUACAUGCAAGUCGAGCGAACCGAUAGAAAGCUUGCUUUCUUGAGGUUAGCGGCGGACGGGUGAGUAACACGUGGGCAACCUGCCCUAUAGACUGGGAUAACUCGCGGAAACGCGUGCUAAUACCGGAUAACACAUCGAAGUGCAUGCUUCGGUGUUGAAAGAUGGUUCUGCUAUCACUAUAGGAUGGGCCCCCGCGGCGCAUUAGCUAAGUUGGGUAAGGGGUAACGGCCUACCAAGGCGACGAUGCGUAGCCCGACCUUGAGAGGGUUGAUCGGCCCACACUGGGACUGAGACACGGCCCAGACUCCCUACCGGGAGGCCAGCCAGUAGGGAAUCUUUCCACAAUUGGGCGAAAGCCUUUGAUUGGAGCAAACGCCGCGU